UAAUUUUGGUGAACUGAAACAUCUUAGUAACCAAAAAAAAAAAUCAACCGAGAAAUCGAAAUUAGUGGUGAACGAAAUUGAUAAAGGUACUAUAGCCAAUUAAUUUUUUUGAAUUUUUUAAAAAAGGUUAGAAUCCUGUAAAAAAAGUAAUUGCCCUUGUUAGUAAUGCGAUUUUACAUAUUUGCAUAAAAAAUGGAGUUCCAUCUUCAAAACCUAAAAACUUAGUAACAGAUAAAAAAAAGUACCGUAAGGGAAUGGUGAAAAAAGAAAUUUUUUUUGAAAAAAAACUAAAAUUUAAUGCUAAUAACAACUGAAGCUUUUCUAGUAACAGAAGUACCUUUUGCACAAGGGAUCAACGAGUUUGUAGUUAUGGCGAGUUUAGGUUUUUACGAUAAACGAAAUUAACGUGUUAAAAAGCAUUUUAAAAUGAAGUCUUAAUUUCAAUACCCGAAACCAGGUGAUCUAACCAAGAACAAGUAGAAAAAUAGAAAGAAAUUUUUAUUUGAUGACUGAACUCGUGUAUGUUGCAAAAUACUGAAAUGAUUUUUGGUUAGUGGUGAAAGGCUAAUCAAACCUGGAAAUAGCUGGUUUUCUGCGAAAUUUAUUUUAGUAAAGCGUUUAAAAACAACUUUCGGCGGUAGAGCUCUUUUUUAGUGAUGGGAUUUUUCAAUUUACUAAUCUAUUGAAAACUUCGAAUGCCGUUUUUUAGUUUUAAGCAGUCGGAUUUAGAGUGCAAAGAUUCUAUUUAAUCAAAAGGGAAACAGCCCAGAUUAAACGUUAAGGACCUAAAAAAUUAAAAAGUAAAAGGUUGUUAUAUAUUUAUUAGAUCUAAAAAAUAGGCUUGGAAGCAGCCAUUUUAUAAUGAAAGCGUAGUUGCACAUUAGGUUAAAUAUAUUGUGCCGAAAAUUUAAUGGGAUUUAAAAAAUUUUCCGAAACGGUAAAGUUCUUUUUUUGAACUGGUAGCAGAAAUGUUCUAUACAUUGAAAAAGUUAAACUGUAAAGUUUAGUGAAAUUAUUGGAAGUAAAAAUGUUGAUAUGAGUAGUAAUAAAGAAUAAAAAGCAUUCUCGCCGAAAGUUUAUAGGAUUUCUUACGUUCAGUUAAGCUUCGUAGAAAAGAAAAAUCUUGUUAGUUAAUUCGGUCUCUAAGAAAAUAAGUGAUCACUUAUUUUGAUGAGUUUUAUAAAUAAUGAAAUUUUUUGAAAAAAAUGUGACAAAAAGUUAUGCUUUUUCUAAGAAAUAAUCUUAUAAAAAACUAUCUUUUUCGAGAAAUAGCACUUUUAAUUUUACCGUACUUAAUCCGAAACAGGUUUACAGGUUGAAAAUACUUAGGCGUUGAGAUAACUAUAUAAAAGGAACUCGGCAAAAUCACUUUGUAUCCUUGGUAGAAAGAGUAACUUUAUUUUUGUAAAGUUGUCAUAAAAUUGGAAGAAGUACCUGUUUAACAAAAACACAAGUCUCUGCAAAUUCGUAAGAAGAUGUAUUGGGGCUGACAUCUGCCCGGUGCUGAAAAGUUAAGAAAAAAAGGUUUUUGCUUUUUUUUUAUGCUCCAGUAAACGGCGGUUUUAACUCUGAAAAUCCUAAGGUAGCGAAGUACCUUGUCGGCUAAUUACCGACUUGCAUGAAUGAUGUAAUAACUUCUUUACUGUCUCUUAUAUAGACUUAAUGAAAUUGGAAUGCUUGUGAAGAUACAAGUAAAUUAAUGAAAAGACAGAAAGACCCUAAGACCUUUACUAUAUUUAUUAACUGUAAUUCUUUAUUUUUUGUGUAGUUAUAGGUGGUAACAAAUUUUUUCAUAAAAAUGUCCCUUUGAAAUACCACUCUUUAAAUAAGGAGUUACUAAUUUUGAAAAGUAUAAGAAGAAAUUUAAUAUUUGGUAGUUUGACUGGGGCGGUUUCCUUUUAAAGCAUAACAAAGGAGUACAAAAGGUAAACUCAUAAAAGGAUUCUUUUAAUGGAGUAUAAUAGCACAAGUUUAUUUGACUGUAAGAAAAACAAUUCAAACAGGAGUGUUUAAAUAAGCUGGUUAUAGUGAUCCGGCAAAUUUGAAUGGAAAUUUUGUCGCAUAACGAAUAAAACGGUACCUUAGGGAUAACGGCCUAAUUACCCUUAAAAGUUCAAAUUGUUGGGGUAGUUUUGGGCAUCGAUGUCGGCUCAUCAUAUCCUGAAGCUGCAAAAGGUUUCAAGGGUUCGGUUGUUCGCCGAAUAAUAUGAUACGUUAGCUGGGUUCAGAACGCCGUAAGGCAGUUCGGUCCUUAUCUUUCAUUAACAUAAGAAAAUUGAAAAUUAUAACUUUUAGUACGAGAGGACCAAAGUUAAUAUACCUAUGGUUAAGCAAUUGUUUUUUAAGCAUUGUUGCGUCGCUACGUAUAUUAUAGGUAAUUGCUGAAAACAUUUAAGCAUGAAACUAACUUUAAGAAAUCAUGUUUUCUAACAACUAAAAUUGUAAAAGAGCAUUACAUCAAUAGGUUUUUUGUAAAAAGAAUAGUAAUAUUUAUAGCAAAAAAUUACUAAAAAU
This 2514-nucleotide ribosomal RNA is filed under the name uncultured Pelagophyceae. Its description in RNAcentral is "partial Bacterial large subunit ribosomal RNA". It matches the Rfam family "Bacterial large subunit ribosomal RNA". Lineage: Eukaryota; Pelagophyceae. The record is from RNAcentral.